AGUCGAGCGGAACGAGUUAUCUGAACCUUCGGGGAACGAUAACGGCGUCGAGCGGCGGACGGGUGAGUAAUGCCUAGGAAAUUGCCUUGAUGUGGGGGAUAACCAUUGGAAACGAUGGCUAAUACCGCAUAAUGCCUACGGGCCAAAGAGGGGGACCUUCGGGCCUCUCGCGUCAAGAUAUGCCUAGGUGGGAUUAGCUAGUUGGUGAGGUAAUGGCUCACCAAGGCGACGAUCCCUAGCUGGUCUGAGAGGAUGAUCAGCCACACUGGAACUGAGACACGGUCCAGACUCCUACGGGAGGCAGCAGUGGGGAAUAUUGCACAAUGGGCGAAAGCCUGAUGCAGCCAUGCCGCGUGUAUGAAGAAGGCCUUCGGGUUGUAAAGUACUUUCAGUUGUGAGGAAGGGGGUGUCGUUAAUAGCGGCAUCUCUUGACGUUAGCAACAGAAGAAGCACCGGCUAACUCCGUGCCAGCAGCCGCGGUAAUACGGAGGGUGCGAGCGUUAAUCGGAAUUACUGGGCGUAAAGCGCAUGCAGGUGGUUCAUUAAGUCAGAUGUGAAAGCCCGGGGCUCAACCUCGGAACUGCAUUUGAAACUGGUGAACUAGAGUACUGUAGAGGGGGGNUAGAAUUUCAGGUGUAGCGGUGAAAUGCGUAGAGAUCUGAAGGAAUACCAGUGGCGAAGNCGGCCCCCUGGACAGAUACUGACACUCAGAUGCGAAAGCGUGGGGNGCAAACANGAUUAGAUACCCUGGUAGUCCACGCC
Molecule: ribosomal RNA, 762 nt
Filed under: Vibrio chagasii
Lineage: Bacteria; Pseudomonadati; Pseudomonadota; Gammaproteobacteria; Vibrionales; Vibrionaceae
Description: bacterial SSU rRNA
Rfam family: Bacterial small subunit ribosomal RNA
Source: RNAcentral